Molecule: ribosomal RNA, 254 nt
Filed under: uncultured bacterium
Lineage: Bacteria
Description: partial 16S ribosomal RNA
Rfam family: Bacterial small subunit ribosomal RNA
Source: RNAcentral
UACGGGGGGUGCGAGCGUUGUCCGGAAUCACUGGGCGUAAAGGGCGCGUAGGUGGUUUGAUAAGGGUGUGGUGAAAGCCCGGGGCUCAACCCCGGGUCUGCCGUGCCGACUGUCAAACUCGAGGGCUGUAGAGGCAGACGGAAUUCCGGGUGUAGCGGUGGAAUGCGUAGAGAUCCGGAGGAAGACCGGUGGCGAAGGCGGUCUGCUGGGCAGUUUCUGACACUGGAUGCGCGACAGCGUGGGGAGCAAACAGG